GGAAACUGAAAUUAAAAGGAAUCAAAGAACGUUCCCAAGGUUACAUAAUCAAUGUGACAAAGCUGGAAUUUUUCAAUGUGCUCACAAGGACUAAAUCAGGGGAAUAAAUGAGGACAUAUCAAGGAAAUCUCAGAAGAGGGGAAUCUUGAAUUGAGCCUUAAAGGAUCACCGAACCAGAGCUUCGAAUAGACAGCUACAGUACUUAUCACGAAGCAGAAAGAAAAAAACAUCCAAAACUUUGACCAAGCAAACGAGCAUUUUUCCUGCAAGAUAAACCAUGACUAUCCCCAAAAAACCUCCAAAGUCAUUUGGAUGAAAACCUAGUUACUUGGUGAAUUUUUUAAAAAUGUGGUUAACUAAUUAUGUGGGUAUCAUCUGGGCCACUGUUUCCCAGUCCUAUGUUCUACUAGGUACUUCUAAAUUGCCAACUUUUGAAACACACUUUAUAAUGAAAUUUGAUUUUGUUUGUGCACACAGAUCCAUGGAACAGGAGACUUUUUAAAACUAUAUUCUUUACUACAAUUGUGAGGACAAAGGAAGAAAAAGAGGAGAAAGUGGGAAAAGGCAUCCAACCAAAAGAAAAAAAGAAAGAGAAAAAUUAAAAGAGAAAAGUUUAGAAUGGGUGGCAGAUAACUUAUUCUCUGCUUGGUCUCAUCUACCAUUAAUACAGGUUUGCUUCUUGGGGAAUAGAUUUGAUGUCUUACUAUGCCUGCAGUACAUUCUCCAGAAUGACUGAGAAGUUAUUUCUGUGAGCCAGCUAGGACCUAAGUAUUGGUCCGAUAAAACAGAUCUUUUUCCUUUACAAAAUGAUAGUACAAGAGAAAGAGCAUGAAGCCAUCAGUCCCGAGGAACUGAAGACUCAAGUUUUCCUAGAAAAGAAUGCCAGGGAAUGAAACUCAACCCCAAAUAAGUUUAUCCGCUGUUCACAGUCUUAAGUUUUGUUGGCAGUUCCUAACUCUUGGCACCAUUCAAAGUUUCAUCAGUGGUGAGACAGCUCAUUGCUACCCUCUCAACGCCUUCUUCUGAGUGCAACGUAUGGUACUUUCCUGCUGCCUUCUAGCAGCUGCUAUCAUGUUCCCCAUGAAGUCUUCUAAGUUCUUCAGAGCUGCACCAGGGAACUAGACCUAGGUAUGGAAAAACAUUGUCAUCUCCAAGAUGCUCCUGAGCGCUUUAAUGCCAGAAGCCUGAUGUUUAACCGAACAACUUCCCGAAAUAUCCUAAGGCUACAGAGUAUCCACAGUCACUCAUUCAAGGACAGGUGGGGAGUGAGAGGUGUGUAUAUUUAAGAACACAUGUGAAUUGGAACAUGCUGUUAUUUAUCUCUUUUUUCUUUCUUUUUUUUUUGUGCUAUCAACAGUUUUAGUCACCAU
Molecule: non-coding RNA, 1370 nt
Organism: Delphinapterus leucas (beluga whale)
Lineage: Eukaryota; Metazoa; Chordata; Mammalia; Artiodactyla; Monodontidae
Source: RefSeq, a predicted model, not a curated record